RNAcentral lists this ribosomal RNA (497 nucleotides) under uncultured bacterium. RNAcentral describes it as "partial 16S ribosomal RNA". It matches the Rfam family "Bacterial small subunit ribosomal RNA", at positions 28 to 507 of the family's 1533-position model. The record is from RNAcentral.
GAUGAACGCUGGCGGCGUGCCUAAUACAUGCCAGUCGAGCGAACAGACGAGGAGCUUGCUCCUCUGAUGUUAGCGGCGGACGGGUGAGUAACACGUGGAUAACCUACCUAUAAGACUGGGAUAACUUCGGGAAACCGGAGCUAAUACCGGAUAAUAUAUUGAACCGCAUGGUUCAAUAGUGAAAGACGGAUUUGCUGUCACUUAUAGAUGUAUCCGCGCCGCAUUAGCUAGUUGGUAAGGUAACGGCUUACCAAGGCAACGAUGCGUAGCCGACCUGAGAGGGUGAUCGGCCACACUGGAACUGAGACACGGUCCAGACUCCUACGGGAGGCAGCAGUAGGGAAUCUUCCGCAAUGGGCGAAAGCCUGACGGAGCAACGCCGCGUGAGUGAUGAAGGUCUUCGGAUCGUAAAACUCUGUUAUUAGGGAAGAACAAAUGUGUAAGUAACUAUGCACGUCUUGACGGUACCUAAUCAGAAAGCCACGGCUAACUACGUG